ACAUGCAAUUCGAGCGGAAACGAUCCUAGCUUGCUAGGAGGCGUCGAGCGGCGGACGGGUGAGUAACGCGUGAGAAUCUACCCAUGAGUGGGGGACAACCCGGGGAAACUCGGGCUAAUACCGCAUACGCCCUACGGGGUAAAGCAGGGGACCUUCGGGCCUUGCGCUGAUGGAUGAGCUCGCGUCGGAUUAGCUUGUUGGUGAGGUAAAGGCUCACCAAGGCGACGAUCCGUAGCUGGUCUGAGAGGAUGAUCAGCCACACCGGGAGUGAGACACGGCCCGGACUCCUACGGGAGGCAGCAGUGGGGAAUCUUGGACAAUGGGGGCAACCCUGAUCCAGCCAUGCCGCGUGUGUGAAGAAGGCCUUCGGGUUGUAAAGCACUUUCAGCAGGGAGGAAGGCUUACCCCUAAUACGGGUGAGUACUUGACGUUACCUGCAGAAGAAGCACCGGCUAAUUUCGUGCCAGCAGCCGCGGUAAUACGAAAGGUGCAAGCGUUAAUCGGAAUUACUGGGCGUAAAGCGCGCGUAGGCGGUGUGUUAAGUCGGAUGUGAAAGCCCAGGGCUCAACCUUGGAAUUGCAUCCGAUACUGGCACGCUAGAGUGCAGUAGAGGGAGGUGGAAUUUCCGGUGUAGCGGUGAAAUGCGUAGAGAUCGGAAGGAACACCAGUGGCGAAGGCGGCCUCCUGGACUGACACAUACCCGAUGUUC
Molecule: ribosomal RNA, 709 nt
Filed under: Alcanivorax sp. D529
Lineage: Bacteria; Pseudomonadati; Pseudomonadota; Gammaproteobacteria; Oceanospirillales; Alcanivoracaceae
Description: bacterial SSU rRNA
Rfam family: Bacterial small subunit ribosomal RNA
Source: RNAcentral